This 1643-nucleotide ribosomal RNA is filed under the name Stenodactylus petrii. Its description in RNAcentral is "16S rRNA". It matches the Rfam family "Bacterial large subunit ribosomal RNA", at positions 436 to 2925 of the family's 2925-position model. The record is from RNAcentral. Lineage: Eukaryota; Metazoa; Chordata; Lepidosauria; Squamata; Gekkonidae.
GCCCCAAUCUUGCCUACCCCGCCUCACAAAACCUCUAUCUUACCUAACCAAACCAUUUUUUCUGCCCAGUAUGAGAGACAGACCUGCCACUUCUAGCGCUAUAGAGCACAGUACCGCAAGGGAACGAUGAAAGACCUUAAACCACCCAAGCACAAAAUAGCAGGCCUAACCCCCCGUACCUCCUGCAUCAUGGUUUAGCCAGCACCAACAGGUAAAGAGCCCCUACACCUGCCCCCCCGAAGCCAGACGAGCUACCUUAGAGCAACUAAUAGAGUUCACCCGUCUCUGUAGCAAAAGAGUGGGACGACUUUAAGGUAGAGGUGAAACGCCUAUCGCGCCUGGCGAUAGCUGGUUGCCCACUAAAAGAAUGUUAGUUCUACCUUAGUUCACCCAACAAAACCAACAAAUUAAACUAAAAUAUAACUAAGAGCUAUACAACAGAGGUACACCCCUGUUGUAACUGGCUACAACCAGAUCUAGUGGACUCCCAACUUCCCCCCCGCCCAGUAGGCCUCAAAGCAGCCAACGAAAACCAAGGCGUUAAAGCUAAUCAAAGACUAAUACUCAACUUCUAUCACCACCCCCUAGACACACAAUGGGCUACUCUGCCACCAUUCAGAAGAAAUACUGCUAAAACUAGUAAUAUGGCCACUACCACCCAAGCAUGACCGUACUCUACCCAUUAACAGACCAGUAUUCAACACACCAAGUCAACUUAGACCACCAACUGUUAAACCCACCCUGGCAUGCCCAAAAUUUUAAUCCCACCGCUACAAAAGGAACUCGGCUAAUGUACCCCACCUGUUUACCAAAAACAUCGCCUUUAGCUCACCAAGUAUUAAAGGUCCCGCCUGCCCAGUGAUAUUACAUUUAACGGCCGCGGUACUCUGACCGUGCAAAGGUAGCGUAAUCACUUGCCCUCUAAUUAGGGGCCAGUAUGAAAGGCCAAAUGAGGGUCCACCUGUCUCUUGUAGCAAGAUAAUGAAACUGAUCUCCUAGUACAAAAGCUAGGAUACCCCCAUAAGACGAGAAGACCCUGUGGAGCUUAUAAAUACCGCUGCUACACCCAAUACCAACCGGGCCCAAAUAGCAACACUUUUUAGUUGGGGCAACUAUGGAGUAAAACAAAACCUCCACGCCAACAACUCACACUUUAACCUAGGCCCACCAGCCAAAACCAAAAAGACCCAGCACCGCUGAUCAUCGAACCAAGUUACCCCAGGGAUAACAGCGCCAUCCUCUUCUAGAGUCCAUAUCGCCAAGAGGGCUUACGACCUCGAUGUUGGAUCAGGAUCCCCCAGUGGUGCAGCCGCUACUGUUGGUCCGUUUGUUCAACGGUUAAUAUCCUACGUGAUCUGAGUUCAGACCGGAGAAAUCCAGGUCGGUUUCUAUCUAUGACUAUGACUUCCUCAGUACGAAAGGAUAAGGAAGCAAGUGCCCCUGCUCAAUCACGCACUAACACAGAACUGCUAAAUAAAAAAUUAAGCAGGCCAUGUAAAACACAUACAAACCCUAAAUCAGGGCACACCCCUUAGGGCACAAGACCAGGAUUGAUACAUGUCCUAAAGCUUCAACAAAAGUUCAGCACUUUUCCCUAAUAAUAUAGUACAUACCAAAUAGAAACAAUUAACGUAUGAACCCCC